CCUACGGGUGGCAGCAAUGGGGAAUAUUGCACAAUGGGGGAAACCCUGAUGCGGCGACGCCGCGUGAGUGAAGAAGUAUUUCGGUAUGUAAAGCUCUAUCAGCAGGGAAGAAAAUGAUGGUACCUGAUUAAGAAGCCCCGGCUAACUACGUGAGAGCAGCCGCGGUAAUACGUAGGGGGAGAGCGUUAUCCGGAUUUACUGGGGGUAAAGGGAGCGUAGACGGUGAUGAAAGUAAGAAGUGAAAGCCCGGGGCUCAACUCCGGGACUGCUUUUGAAACUGGGUGACUGGAGUGCAGGAGAGGUAAGCGGAAUUCCUGGUGUAGCGGUGAAAUGCGUAGAUAUCAGGAGGAACACCAGUGGCGAAGGCGGCUUACUGGACUGUAACUGACGUUGAGGCUCGAAAGCGUGGGGAGCAAACAGGAUUAGAUACCCUUGUAGUC
This 440-nucleotide ribosomal RNA is filed under the name uncultured bacterium. RNAcentral describes it as "partial 16S ribosomal RNA". It matches the Rfam family "Bacterial small subunit ribosomal RNA", at positions 338 to 795 of the family's 1533-position model. The record is from RNAcentral.